AGAGUUUGAUCAUGGCUCAGAUUGAACGCUGGCGGCAGGCCUAACACAUGCAAGUCGAGCGGUAGCACAGAGAGCUUGCUCUCGGGUGACGAGCGGCGGACGGGUGAGUAAUGUCUGGGAAACUGCCUGAUGGAGGGGGAUAACUACUGGAAACGGUAGCUAAUACCGCAUAACGUCGCAAGACCAAAGAGGGGGACCUUCGGGCCUCUUGCCAUCAGAUGUGCCCAGAUGGGAUUAGCUAGUAGGUGGGGUAACGGCUCACCUAGGCGACGAUCCCUAGCUGGUCUGAGAGGAUGACCAGCCACACUGGAACUGAGACACGGUCCAGACUCCUACGGGAGGCAGCAGUGGGGAAUAUUGCACAAUGGGCGCAAGCCUGAUGCAGCCAUGCCGCGUGUAUGAAGAAGGCCUUCGGGUUGUAAAGUACUUUCAGCGGGGAGGAAGGUGUUGUGGUUAAUAACCACAGCAAUUGACGUUACCCGCAGAAGAAGCACCGGCUAACUCCGUGCCAGCAGCCGCGGUAAUACGGAGGGUGCAAGCGUUAAUCGGAAUUACUGGGCGUAAAGCGCACGCAGGCGGUCUGUCAAGUCGGAUGUGAAAUCCCCGGGCUCAACCUGGGAACUGCAUUCGAAACUGGCAGGCUAGAGUCUUGUAGAGGGGGGUAGAAUUCCAGGUGUAGCGGUGAAAUGCGUAGAGAUCUGGAGGAAUACCGGUGGCGAAGGCGGCCCCCUGGACAAAGACUGACGCUCAGGUGCGAAAGCGUGGGGAGCAAACAGGAUUAGAUACCCUGGUAGUCCACGCCGUAAACGAUGUCGACUUGGAGGUUGUGCCCUUGAGGCGUGGCUUCCGGAGCUAACGCGUUAAGUCGACCGCCUGGGGAGUACGGCCGCAAGGUUAAAACUCAAAUGAAUUGACGGGGGCCCGCACAAGCGGUGGAGCAUGUGGUUUAAUUCGAUGCAACGCGAAGAACCUUACCUACUCUUGACAUCCAGAGAACUUUCCAGAGAUGGAUUGGUGCCUUCGGGAACUCUGAGACAGGUGCUGCAUGGCUGUCGUCAGCUCGUGUUGUGAAAUGUUGGGUUAAGUCCCGCAACGAGCGCAACCCUUAUCCUUUGUUGCCAGCGGUUAGGCCGGGAACUCAAAGGAGACUGCCAGUGAUAAACUGGAGGAAGGUGGGGAUGACGUCAAGUCAUCAUGGCCCUUACGAGUAGGGCUACACACGUGCUACAAUGGCGCAUACAAAGAGAAGCGACCUCGCGAGAGCAAGCGGACCUCAUAAAGUGCGUCGUAGUCCGGAUUGGAGUCUGCAACUCGACUCCAUGAAGUCGGAAUCGCUAGUAAUCGUAGAUCAGAAUGCUACGGUGAAUACGUUCCCGGGCCUUGUACACACCGCCCGUCACACCAUGGGAGUGGGUUGCAAAAGAAGUAGGUAGCUUAACCUUCGGGAGGGCGCUUACCACUUUGUGAUUCAUGACUGGGGUGAAGUCGUAACAAGGUAACCGUAGGGGAACCUGCGGUUGGAUCACC
Molecule: ribosomal RNA, 1527 nt
Filed under: Enterobacter asburiae
Lineage: Bacteria; Pseudomonadati; Pseudomonadota; Gammaproteobacteria; Enterobacterales; Enterobacteriaceae
Description: bacterial SSU rRNA
Rfam family: Bacterial small subunit ribosomal RNA
Source: RNAcentral